UUCGAGUAUCAAUCAAUACAUUAUUUCUAUGCCCCACAUUUGAAGAAAACUAUUUAUUUUUAUGUUUGUUUUUAGUGUAAAUGUAUCUCUCUUUUCAAGGAAAAUUCUAAUCUUACACAUUUCCGCUUCUUUCGCUAUAUAUUUGUUUUCGUACUUCUUCUACUUCGUACUUAUAAUGAGAAUGCUCCUCGAGUAGGGAGCGAACCCACGAACUCCCGAUCGCUAGGCGGACACCUAAUCCACUACACCACCGCGAUAGUAUAUACGGAUGCCUACUGUAUAUUUAUUUUUGGCAUAGAUUUUACUUUAUUACACAGUGUACAUAGCUUUAUAAUUAAUUUUCAAUUGUAAACACAAACCUGAAAACUAUCACUCAAUUUCAGAGUGAACAGCAUUUGAUUGUGUAGCCCCACGAUAGACAAAGUUAUAAAGAAAUGGACGGACUUUAAGACGCACAAAAACAACCAUGUGUGAAUAAUGAGAUCUCAUCCAUCACAUCAGUUGAACAAAAGUUGGAAAUCCGCGAAACAGCGCAUGUGAGGCCCAGUCAUUUGAGCGGAUAGUGUUCCACUUCAUUGUUCCCUAGCUGUAGAGUUGUUGGAGAAAACCCUGUAUUGUUAUGUUACAAAGAUAAUUAAAUAAAGGAGUAGAAUUUA
This is a long non-coding RNA of Dreissena polymorpha, 656 nucleotides long. RefSeq lists it as uncharacterized. The transcript is spliced from 4 exons. The record is from RefSeq and is a predicted model, not a curated record. Lineage: Eukaryota; Metazoa; Mollusca; Bivalvia; Myida; Dreissenidae.